UAUUUAGUAAUAAAGUGAAGCUCUGUGAUUACUGUUGCAGUUAAACAGUCCUGAUCUCUUUGAUAUGUAUUCUGCUGGAAUUGUACUCUUGCAAAUUGCAAUACCAACCUUAAGGUCUCAAGCUGCUUUGAAGAAUUUCAAUUUGGAAAUGAGGACAUAUGGAUAUGAUUUGAACAAAUGGAGGGACUCUACUCGCAUGAAGUCUAACUUCCAAAUCCUUGAUAGUGAUUCUGGUAGAGGUUGGGACUUAGCAUCAAAGCUUAUCUCCAAAAGAAGUUCCGAAAGAAGAAGGCGUUUAUCUGCUGCUUCUGCUUUGAGGCAUCCUUAUUUUCUUCUUGGUGGUGAUCAGGCAGCUGCAGUUCUUUCUAAAUUCAGCUUUAGCACAAAGUGAACAGCUUAUAAAUUUUUGGUUUGUUUGGAUAAGUUUAUUUGAGUUUAUCUACAGGCAUAAACACGUGUGAGAUUGUUUGAGAAAGCUUAAGGAUACGGCCUAUAAUAUGCCCAUAAACUGUUUCUAGCUUAUUUUCGUAAGCUCUCUUGGAUAGCAUAUUAAAAAAACUUAUAGCUUGUAUAUAAGUAGUUUGACUUAAUUUUAUCUUUUGUUAUACACAUAGCUUAUAAGAGCUUAUACUAUAAACACUUAAUUAUAAGUUGUUUAUCCAAAUGUAAGUAUAUUUAUCUCAUUUUAUGAUUCUUUCAUUUUUUUUUUUCAUACUUAUACAUGCAUGACAGCUUUAUAUCACCAUAGCUUUACAAUUGGUAACUUUACGUAAGUUAGAGUUCAUCAUGAUAUAGGAUCUUCUCCCAACAUAUUUUUUUUCUUCUUACAACUCCAAUUGCAUUUGGAAGAACACAACUAGUUAAACAAAGCAAGCCUAUAGGAUUGAAGGGAUACAAUACUUGAAGUGGAAGGGGAUUUUGAGAAAACAAGCAUAACCAUCAUCCAUAUUAUCCGUUAAUCCUUCAGAUAACACCUGCCACACGAGGCUUCCAGCUCCACUCCCUCCUUUCUUUGUUGAAUUUAGGAUGGAACUGUUAACGGUGCUUAUUAAUGUGUCUCUAUAUGUUGAGUUGUAGCCAGGAUUCUUGGAAGAUACAUGUGAGUAGAAGCAAAGUUUACACAAAGAACUUGGUGGUUCCUAAUGGAAUGAACUUCAUACUCUGGUGUGUUGAAUGGCCAUAAAAUCCUUCUAGUCCAAUUUAUAGUCGAUUGAAUGCAUGAAGGUAAAGUAAUUCUUAAUGUUAUACCUAAGCAAGUUAAAUGGUAUAGUAGUAUUAAUUCAUACCCCUCUAACUAGUGUCUAAGCAGAUAUUUACAAAGUUGGAGAACAAAAAAAUUUCAAUAACGUCAAACCUCAUGCUGAAAAGAUUCUACUUAGAAGCAUAUGAAUAGUUUUUAAAUAUCGUUAGCACGCCCAUCAGAUUCAACUUUGGACACAAAGUGAACAAUAGCCAAACAGAGUUCACGAUUAAGUAGAAAAGAAAGAAAUAAAGCUUCUAAAGUAAAUAUCGUAACACAAAGCCAAACCAGAUAAAAAUAAACACAUAUCAAAUCUUAUAAUAAAACAAAAAAUUACAAUAUUUCAUGGCAUAAAUGAAUACAUCUCUUAAGAAAAUUACAUAUCAAAUCUUAUAAUAAAACAAAAAUUACAUGUGCGUAAAUGAAUACAUGUACAUAUGAUAUAUCACUGAUCAUCAAGCAAAUAAUGCGCCAAAUAGUUACAUCUCUUAAGAAAAUUCAUGACACUGGCACUGUUCACAGGGAUAUAAAGCCUUCAAACUUGGUUGUUACAAAACAAGGUCGGAUCAAAUUCGUUGAUUUUGGUGCAGCAACAGAUCUUAGGAUUUUCGUCAACCUGAACUGUAUCUUCUACCGCAAGAAACACCAAAUCUUCCUCCAUAGCCAAUUGCAGCUUGACUCACCAAUAUUGUGGCAGGUCUGACAUCUUUUAUCCUAUUUAAAUAUGUAUUCAAAUUAAUAUAAAAUUGGCUUCUAACAAUUUUUUAUAUUAGUAAAAGAAGUAUAUAGGCCAACAUAUUGAUAGAAUCACACGCAACUUUGAAGUACACAUACAUUAAUAAGUACUAUUUUGGCUAAUAUGUUCCUUAAUUUGAAAUAUGUUCAGAUGGAUUUAUAUUCUUCUAUUACCUAUUGUGGUAUCUUUUACUAAUUAAGGACCUAUUUGGUUAAACAGCUUAAUUUGCAGCUUAUAGCAAAAACAGUUAUCAUACAAGCGCUUGUGAGUAAGCUAUUUCUAUUACACAAGUUAGGUUUCAAUAUCAAAAUAAGUUUAUGUUUCUUCACUCGGAAAAAUGCUUAAGAGCUUUUAAAUGUUAAUAGAUAAAUUAGAGGUCUGCUUUGAUUCAAUUAUUUCAGCUAAGCUACUGACGUAAUUACUUGUGAGACUGUUUGAGAGAGUUUAUAGAAACCACUUUAACAUGUCCAUAAGCUCUCCAGGAUAAAUUAUGAAAACAGUUUGUAGCCUAUACAAAAAUAAUUGCACUAUGCUUUUUCUUUUGUGUGCAACAUGCAUUUAUGCUCUUCUUUGUCUGAUUGGAAUAUGCAAGUUAAGUACUAAAACAGAGAUCUGUGAUUACUGUUGCAGUUAAACAUUCCUGGAAUUGUGCUCCUUCCAAUGGCAAUACCAACCUUGAGGUCUCCGGUUGCUUUGAAGAAUUUCAAUUUGGAAAUGAGGACAUAUGUAUAUGAUUUUAACAAAUGGAGAGACGAUCUACUUGCAUCAAGUCUAACUUCCAAACCCUUGAUGGCGAUUCAGGUAUAGGCUGGGACUUAGCAUUAAAACUUAUCUCCAAAAGAUGAAUCAUUUAUCCACUGAUUCUGCUUUGAAGCAUCCAUACUUUCUUCUUGGUGGUGAUCAGGCAGCCGCAGUUCUUUCUAAAUUCAGCUUUAGCACAAAGUGAGCUGCUUAUAAAUGUUUCUGUUUGGAUUGGUUUAUUUAAGAUUGUCUGCUGACAUAAAUAUUUGUGAGACCGGGAGAGCUUAAGGAAACACUCAUGACAUGUCCAUAAGCUGUUUUCAGCUUAUUUCCAUAAACUCUGGAAGGCAGCUCAUCAAAACAAUAUAUAGUUUGUAUGAAAACAAUUUGACUUCUUUUUUUUUUAAUUUAUUUUUUUAUAGAAAUAGCUUAUACAUGUUUAUCCAAACACGACCUUUAUGUAAGUAUAUUUGUCAUUUUCAAUCAUAUUACUCACAAGAUGAGAUGAUAUAUUCAAUGACAUUUUGCACUUUUAUUUGUCUAUUAUUGGCAGGUAUGCAUAACUGGUAAAUGUAAUCAGUGAAAAAUAUCAUAACACGCUUCUAUCUUAAGAUGGUGAGCUUGCAUAACUACACAAAUUCAACCUGUGUGGUUUUAUAUGGCUAUAGCUUUACAAAGGGAAACUUUACAUAAGUUAGAGUUCAUCAUGAUAGAGUAUCUUCUCCAACAUUUUCUUCUUCUUACAACUCCAAUUGCAUCUGGUAGAACACACCGAGUUGAACAAAGCAAGCCUCGUGGAUUGAAGGGUUACAAUACUUGAAGUGGAAGGAGAUUUUGAGAAAACAAUAGCAUAGCCGUCAUCCAUAUUAUCGGUUCCUUCAGGAAAUACCUGCCACAAAAGGCUUCCAGCUCCACUCCCUCCUUUCUUUGUGGAGUUUAGGACUGCGCUGUAAACAGUGCUUAUUAGUGUGUCUCUAUAUGUUGAGUUGUAGCCAGGAUCCUUGGAUGAUACACCAAACUCAGAAAAAACAACUGGCAUUCCAAGAUACUUUUCAGCAUCCUCUAUGUGUGCAUCCAUCCAUGAUUUUACAAAUGAGAUAUGUGUAUCAGCAAUUUGUGGUGAAACCCUUCAAACAAGAUGACUGACUUAGUUAUAAACGGUUAUACUAUUCAUGUUCAAAGGUGUGCAUUUAAAUAAAGAACCAACCACGUUAUUAUGUAGACAAAAAGUGUUGGUUCAAAUAACUCUGCAGUCUGAUCUUAGUCCCUCCAGUUUUUAAAGUUUUAGUCUUUGAAACAUUAGAAAAAUUGCUUUUGAACCUUGUUGUUUUAGUUUCAGUUCCUAUAAAUAUUUGUGUAUUUUGGAAACAGUUGCUGUAAUAUGUGGAUAUCCCUAAAAUGGAGGGCAAUCCGACAACUUGUUACAACAUGAACAAAAUGAAAACAAUAUUUCAAUGUUUUAGGACUAAAACCAAAAAAAGGAAGAAUGAGGGGGGCUGGUUAGAAAAUGUAUAUAUUACAAGGGCCAAAUGUUAAUAAAUAGUGUUUAUCACAGACUAGCAAAUAGUAGAAAAACUUCAGAAACUUACCAAGAGUCAGCAUACAUGUGAACAGAAGCAAAGUCCACUCCAAGAACCUGAUGGUUCCUAAUAAAAUCAGUUCCAACCUGUUGAGCAUAUGUAUUUGGAUUGAACUGAAGUCUCUGAGGUGUUGAAGGGCCAUAAAAUCCUUCUAGUCCAAUCUCCACUAGGUGUUUUGGAUCAAUUUUAUUCACAUGGAAUGCCAUUUCUUGUAUCCAAUCCUGUAUUAUAUAUUCACAAGUGAAAAGUUGUUGAGUUGAGUGCAACUACAUGAUAUCAAUAUAAGUUUGUUAUAAUGAUAUCCAGAAGAAGUUUACAAGGGGCAAACCUGUAACUUGUCACCUGUGGGAUCAGAGUUGCAUCUAGGCUCAUUCAUGAGUUCCCAAGCAAAAAUGGUAGGAUCUUCCUUAUAAGUGAUAUUUGUGAAUGUGUUAACUCUAUUGAGCACAGUCUACACAGUGAAAUUUAACUUAGUCAUUGCAGUAUAUACCAAACAAGCUUUAAAGUAAGCAAUGUUGGUUUUGAGCUGUAGCAUUUAAGAAAGGAACUUGCCUUAACGUGGGACUUGUAGUAGCUUCUAAGGGUUGAAUGUGUGUAGAAGUCAUCAUCAGAGGUCAAGUUAAGGCCAGCAUCUUUGCCCCAUUUCACAUAUUGUGCUUUUCCACCAUAUGCCUCCCAAUUGUUGGCCAAUGAUAAUAUCAGCCUGAUUUUGUAUUUCUUUGCUUCACUUACCACAAAGUCCAAGGCCUGUAGAUCAAUCAUAACCAUAACCAUCAAAUCAUACAAACAUUUGAUUUUAUUCGUAACAACUUUUAAAAUCAUUCAUUUAAUUGGCUGUGAUGUGCUUUGCAGACAACGCAAAACUUUUUACGGUGACAGUGUAUACAAAUUAAACUCAUUAAGUUAAGGAGUACCUUGAAGACUUCUUCGUCAUAAACCGAAGGGGAUUUUUGUAGGGCCCGCCAUUGGCCAUCAUUGAAAGCCCAAGUCCUACAAACUGUCAUACCUAGUGAGGAUGCUUGUUUGAAAACCUCAGUGACUUUUCCUCUGGUGGAGUCAUCUGCAGCAAACAUCAUUAACCAGUAUGUGUUGAAUCCAUUUAUAUAGAAAGGCUGACCAUUCACCACAAAUUGGUUUCCUUUCUUCCCUACCAUUUGCCAUUCAUCCUCUUCCAUGUCCCACAUUGUUUCACUUCUAACACCAUUACAAAAAACCAAUAUUUAAUUCAAUUUUCAAGGUUAAAAGAACAAACAUAUCAUCAUCAUCCAUUGUCACCAUCGGCUGCAAUUUGGGGUUGAAACCGACCAUUGACAACGACAUCCCACACAUCCAUAUCCACCGAUUGGAUGUGAACACCGAAAGAGUUUUAAACAAAAGGUUCAGAAGGUUUAAACUCUAGAAAUUAACAUCAUUGCUAAUUUACAAACAUUUGUCUGCUAAACUAAAAUGAUCAUAGGACAACUAAAAAAAUGUAACAUAAAAAAAUUGACAUAAAAUUGCAAUCCAAUUUAAAAAUAAUGAAAAAUCCAUACUUUAAUAAACAAAAUUUUAAAGAAACCUCGUACAAAAAAGUUCGUAUAUUGGUUGGCUAGUAAAUAGUAAUAUAGAACAGCUAGAGGGUGCAUGCAUGAUCAUACCCAUAAUUUGUGAUAGGUUUAUGUACAUGAUCUUGUCCUUCCUUUUGUGCCUCUUCAUCCACCCUACUAACAGCAUUAGAACUUAGAAUCAAAAGAAGGAAUAAAAAAAUAAUAGGCAUUCCCAUUUUCUUCAUUGAGAUUGGUUACUUAGCCACAAUAUAAUGUCCAUGCUCUAUUAGGGCAUGUUAUUAAAUAUCUGAACAUUUUAAGUUAUCUUUCCAUAGAAAUCGAUCAAACUUAGAAGGUUAGCGGGCAAGUAUAAAGUACAUUCUAUAUCUAACUUUAAAGUGAAGAAAAUAUUUUCUAUGUUCCAUUUUUAAGCAAUGGUUUAUACAAGUGAAGGAGUAAAGUUACAAAAACAUCACCUUUGUUUCCUAAGGCACUUUCAAGUGGGUUCCACAGUAUAGACUUAUAGAGAGAGGCUUAUGGUCGACAUAUAUAUGCUUAUAAGCUUAUAGAUGUGUAUUGAGAAAUUAUAUAAUACAGCUUCUAAAAAACUGAACUUUAGAAUCAAAUUUCAACAUAUAUGAGAAGCUCUUGCUUAAACAAAUGCUUAAUUAUUUAUUAUAAGAUUAUUUUGAUCUCUCUUUUUAUCAUAAGCAUUCAUAGAGAAUUUUAUCAAACUGAUUCUUAAUCUGUAUGGAGUUAUUUCCUUCAAGCAAACACACUAUGUAUGCAACAUGCAUUUAUACUCUUCCUUGUCUGUUUCAAAUAUAUAUAUAUAUAUUUAGUAAUAAAGUGAAGCUCUGUGAUUACUGUUGCAGUUAAACAGUCCUGAUCUCUUUGAUAUGUAUUCUGCUGGAAUUGUACUCUUGCAAAUUGCAAUACCAACCUUAAGGUCUCAAGCUGCUUUGAAGAAUUUCAAUUUGGAAAUGAGGACAUAUGGAUAUGAUUUGAACAAAUGGAGGGACUCUACUCGCAUGAAGUCUAACUUCCAAAUCCUUGAUAGUGAUUCUGGUAGAGGUUGGGACUUAGCAUCAAAGCUUAUCUCCAAAAGAAGUUCCGAAAGAAGAAGGCGUUUAUCUGCUGCUUCUGCUUUGAGGCAUCCUUAUUUUCUUCUUGGUGGUGAUCAGGCAGCUGCAGUUCUUUCUAAAUUCAGCUUUAGCACAAAGUGAACAGCUUAUAAAUUUUUGGUUUGUUUGGAUAAGUUUAUUUGAGUUUAUCUACAGGCAUAAACACGUGUGAGAUUGUUUGAGAAAGCUUAAGGAUACGGCCUAUAAUAUGCCCAUAAACUGUUUCUAGCUUAUUUUCGUAAGCUCUCUUGGAUAGCAUAUUAAAAAAACUUAUAGCUUGUAUAUAAGUAGUUUGACUUAAUUUUAUCUUUUGUUAUACACAUAGCUUAUAAGAGCUUAUACUAUAAACACUUAAUUAUAAGUUGUUUAUCCAAAUGUAAGUAUAUUUAUCUCA
This 7341-nucleotide long non-coding RNA is filed under the name Medicago truncatula (barrel medic). RNAcentral's name for it is "long non-coding RNA (MTRU_LNC005282)". The record is from RNAcentral. Lineage: Eukaryota; Viridiplantae; Streptophyta; Magnoliopsida; Fabales; Fabaceae.